GAUGAACGCUAGCUACAGGCUUAACACAUGCAAGUCGAGGGGCAGCACAGUGUAGCAAUACACGGGUGGCGACCAGCGCACGGGUGCGUAACGCGUAUCCAACCUUCCCGUUACUCUUGGAUAGCCUUCCGAAAGGGAGAUUAAUACAAGAUGGUAUUCAAAUUCCGCAUGUUAUUUGAAUUAAAGAUUUAUCGGUAACGGAUGGGGAUGCGUGACAUUAGGUAGAUGACGGGGUAACGGCCACCUAGCCGACGAUGGAUAGGGGUUCUGAGAGGAAGGUCCCCCACACUGGAACUGAGACACGGUCCAGACUCCUACGGGAGGCAGCAGUGAGGAAUAUUGGUCAAUGGUCGGAAGACUGAACCAGCCAAGUAGCGUGAAGGAUGAAGGUUCUAUGGAUUGUAAACUUCUUUUAUAUAGGAAUAAAACCUCCCACGUGUGGGAGCUUGUAUGUACUAUAUGAAUAAGCAUCGGCUAACUCCGUG
This 485-nucleotide ribosomal RNA is filed under the name uncultured bacterium. Its description in RNAcentral is "bacterial SSU rRNA". It matches the Rfam family "Bacterial small subunit ribosomal RNA", at positions 28 to 507 of the family's 1533-position model. The record is from RNAcentral.